This 484-nucleotide ribosomal RNA is filed under the name uncultured bacterium. RNAcentral describes it as "partial 16S ribosomal RNA". It matches the Rfam family "Bacterial small subunit ribosomal RNA", at positions 30 to 507 of the family's 1533-position model. The record is from RNAcentral.
AUUGAACGCUGGCGGAAUGCUUUACACAUGCAAGUCGAGCGGCAGCACGGGGGCAACCCUGGUGGCGAGCGGCGAACGGGUGAGUAAUACAUCGGAACAUGCCCAGUCGUGGGGGAUAACACUUUGAAAGAAGUGCUAAUACCGCAUACGUCCUGAGGGGGAAAGCGGGGGAUCGCAAGACCUCGCGCGAUUGGAGUGGCCGAUGUCAGAUUAGCUAGUUGGUGGGGUAAAGGCCUACCAAGGCAACGAUCUGUAGCUGGUCUGAGAGGAUGAUCAGCCACACUGGGACUGAGACACGGCCCAGACUCCUACGGGAGGCAGCAGUGGGGAAUUUUGGACAAUGGGGGCAACCCUGAUCCAGCCAUUCCGCGUGAGUGAAGAAGGCCUUCGGGUUGUAAAGCUCUUUCGGCAGGAACGAAACGGUGAGCUCUAACAUAGCUUGCUAAUGACGGUACCUGAAGAAGAAGCACCGGCUAACUACGUG